UAAUUGGCCCUUUUCAGGGCCACCAUAUAUUAUAUACGUGGAACAAU
Trichomalopsis sarcophagae is the source of this 47-nucleotide non-coding RNA. Lineage: Eukaryota; Metazoa; Arthropoda; Insecta; Hymenoptera; Pteromalidae. The record is from Rfam.